GGAUAGGUCUGGGUAGUUGGAUAGGUCUGGAUAGUUGGAUAGGUCUGGGUAGUUGGAUAGGUCUGGGUAGUUGGAUAGGUCUGGGUAGUUGGAUAGGUCUGGAUAGUUGGAUAGGUCUGGAUAGUUGCAUAGGGCUGGAUAGUUGGAUAGGUCUGGAUAGUUGGGUAGGGCUGGAUAGUUGGGUAGGUCUGGAUAGUUGGGUAGGUCUGGAUAGUUGGAUAGGUCUGAAUAGUUGGAUAGGUCUGGAUAGUUGGAUAGGUCUGGAUAGUUGGAUAGGUCUGGAUAGUUGGAUAGGUCUGGAUAGUUGGAUAGGGCUGGAUAGUUGGAUAGGUCUGGAUAGUUGGAUAGGUCUGGAUAGUUGGAUAGGGCUGGAUAGUUGGAUAGGUCUGGAUAGUUGGAUAGGUCUGGAAAGGUCUGGAUAGUUGGAUAGGUCUGGAUAGUUGGAUAGGUCUGAAUAGUUGGAUAGGUCUGGAUAGUUGGAUAGGUCUCGAUAGUUGGAUAGGUCUGGAUAGUUGGAUAGGUCUGGAUAGUUGGAUAGGUCUGGAUAGUUGGAUAGGGCUGGAUAGUUGGAUAGGG
Oncorhynchus tshawytscha (Chinook salmon) is the source of this 576-nucleotide long non-coding RNA. The record is from Ensembl. NCBI's taxonomy places the organism in Eukaryota, Metazoa, Chordata, Actinopteri, Salmoniformes, Salmonidae.